This 459-nucleotide ribosomal RNA is filed under the name uncultured bacterium. RNAcentral's name for it is "partial 16S ribosomal RNA". It matches the Rfam family "Bacterial small subunit ribosomal RNA", at positions 30 to 507 of the family's 1533-position model. The record is from RNAcentral.
AUUGAACGCUGGCGGCAGGCCUAACACAUGCAAGUCGAGCGAAUGAAGGGAGCUUGCUCCUGCAUUCAUCGGUGGACGGUUGGGUAAUGCCUAGGAGUCUGCCUGGUCGUGGGGGAUAACGUCCUGAUACGGGCGCUAAUACCGCAUCCGUCCUGAGAUCGCAAUUGGGUGAUCUUCCGUUCUCACGCUAUCGGAUGAGCCUAGGUUGGAUUAACUAGUUGGUAGGGUAAAUGCCUACCAAGGCUACGAUCCAUAACUGGUCUGAGAGGAUGAGCAGUCACACUGGAGGUGAGACACGGACGAGAAUCCUACGGGAGGGAGGAGGGGGGAAUAUUGGAAAAUGGGUGAAAGGAUGAACCAGCAAUGACGCGUGAGUGAUGAAGGCCUUAGGGUAGUAAAGCUAUUUUAACCGGGAGGAUAAUGACAGUACCGGGAGAAUAAGCGCCGGCUAACUCCGUG